GGUGGGUUGGCAGAGUGGUCGAAUGCGUCGGUUUCGAAAACCGAUAUACCAGCAAUGGUAUCGCAGGUUCAAAUCCUGCACCCACCG
This is a non-coding RNA of Candidatus Buchananbacteria bacterium, 87 nucleotides long. The record is from Rfam. NCBI's taxonomy places the organism in Bacteria, Candidatus Buchananiibacteriota.